Molecule: ribosomal RNA, 865 nt
Filed under: uncultured bacterium
Lineage: Bacteria
Description: bacterial SSU rRNA
Rfam family: Bacterial small subunit ribosomal RNA
Source: RNAcentral
UNUGAAGUUAAAGGCUGUGGCUUAACCAUAGUACGCUUUGGAAACUGUUUAACUUGAGUGCAAGAGGGGAGAGUGGAAUUCCAUGUGUAGCGGUGAAAUGCGUAGAUAUAUGGAGGAACACCGGUGGCGAAAGCGGCUCUNUGGCUUGUAACUGACGCUGAGGCUCGAAAGCGUGGGGAGCAAACAGGAUUAGAUACCCUGGUAGUCCACGCCGUAAACGAUGAGUGCUAGGUGUUAGACCCUUUCCGGGGUUUAGUGCCGCAGCUAACGCAUUAAGCACUCCGCCUGGGGAGUACGACCGCAAGGUUGAAACUCAAAGGAAUUGACGGGGGCCCGCACAAGCGGUGGAGCAUGUGGCUUAAUUCGAAGCAACGCGAAGAACCUUACCAGGUCUUGACAUCCCUCUGACCGCUCUAGAGAUAGAGUUUUCCUUCGGGACAGAGGUGACAGGUGGUGCAUGGUUGUCGUCAGCUCGUGUCGUGAGAUGUUGGGUUAGGUCCCGCAACGAGCGCAACCCCUAUUGUUAGUUGCCAUCAUUCAGUUGGGCACUCUAGCGAGACUGCCGGUAAUAAACCGGAGGAAGGUGGGGAUGACGUCAAAUCAUCAUGCCCCUUAUGACCUGGGCUACACACGUGCUACAAUGGCUGGUACAACGAGUCGCAAGCCGGUGACGGCAAGCUAAUCUCUUAAAGCCAGUCUCAGUUCGGAUUGUAGGCUGCAACUUGCCUACAUGAAGUCGGAAUCGCUAGUAAUCGCGGAUCAGCACGCCGCGGUGAAUACGUUCCCGGGCCUUGUACACACCGCCCGUCACACCACGAGAGUUUGUAACACCCGAAGUCGGUGAGGUAACCUUUUAGGAGCCAGC